Molecule: long non-coding RNA, 585 nt
Organism: Monopterus albus (swamp eel)
Lineage: Eukaryota; Metazoa; Chordata; Actinopteri; Synbranchiformes; Synbranchidae
Exons: 4
Source: RefSeq, a predicted model, not a curated record
UAUCAGUUAGUUGUAGUUUGUGAACAAUCCUAAGCCACCUAAACCAUGUUUACUCUCACUCGCCAGUGUUUUUGUGUCUUCCAGAACGUGAUCACAAAUUGGUGUGGAUUAUGUGAGGCCAGUCUGAUGUCAGGUCCUCGAGAGCUACCACCGUGCAUCCUUUCCAACUAUCCAUGCCCUGCCCACUGCUGCAUACCUGCAUCAUGUGCGUUCAGUCAAUCAGAAGUUGGAAGAUACCACCUUAGAUGAACGUGGAGCGAGGACAAAGUGAAUUGGUUGGUUGGAGGAUGGACAACAGUUAUCAGUUGAAGCCACACCCCCCACCCCACCCCACCCACCGUGCUCGGCAAUGCAAAUAAUGACAACACCACUGAUGACCAAACACAGUGACCAAGCGGCUGUCACUCACAUCUGUUCCCAAUGGCUUUGCUCGGCUCGUCUUGGAAUCUGAGCUGGCUAGUACCCGGAAGCACGGCGGCCACAAUUCAGAAACGAUGCUGGAAGCAUUUGAAAUCAAGGCUCUAAUGAUGCCACUGCAUAAUGAAAGCAGAAGGACUGAGAAGGAAGUGGAGCCAGUGUCUGUGU